Molecule: non-coding RNA, 828 nt
Organism: Labrus bergylta (ballan wrasse)
Lineage: Eukaryota; Metazoa; Chordata; Actinopteri; Labriformes; Labridae
Source: RefSeq, a predicted model, not a curated record
GCUCGGCUCAGAUUUAAGUUUUACUACGCCUUCAUGUUAAAAUACACAAAAAGACAUGAAUUCAAAUAAAAUGAAAUAAAAACUCACUUCAAAUUGAGCUUCUCAGCCAUCAGACAAAAGAGGCCAUGUGGCACCCACAAAAGCUUUAAAAACUUCCUACCACUUUGCAACAAGAAGGGGGUUUAUAAUCAGACUGCCUAAAUGAAUCUCUUAAUUAUGAGCGACAUCAAUCCUUUCAUUAAAGCAGUAAGUUUACAGUAAGUCUACAACAUGCUCAUAAAGCAAGAGUUCGUCUUACUUCAGCUGGUUUUGAACUCAAUAGAAAAAGAAAAACCGUUGCAUUUUUUUUCAUCUUAAAGUCCGAUUUAGUCCAGAUUACCUGUUGUGCCCGCCUUUUUCUUUGCAGGUAAAAAAGAAGAAGCUAUUUAUGAAGAAAUACCGGAUGCAUUGUUUCAGCCAAAAAAUGACAGAUUAAACCAAAAUGAUCCCACGUAUUCCACCAUCUCUGAGCUUCCUCUGAUGGAGAAGCCAACUGACACAAUUCUACCUAAUGAGUCCCCUUACUCCUGCAUCGGAGACACGUUAGGUAGAGAUUACACAGAUUUGACGCAGUCGAAUGAAAGCCCAUAUUUUUUACUGAAGAAACCUGAAACACCCGAGAACAACAACGACGUGACGUCUGCAGUUUGAGCGGAAAAUUCUUCAGUUGUCGAUAAAACCUGCUUCGUCAAGAAGAAGCCUUGUUUCCACUUGAGACUGUAAAUAAUAAAGUUUGAAGCCUGAGUGACCCGUCUGUUCCUGCAGGGGACACUGAAGUCCCAUUGAUGG